AGGUGAUACGUUACCUACUUUAAUCAAUUCGCAAUAUACGUGUUUCCCUAUUAUUAAUCCCAGGUUAGAUUAGGUUAGGUUAGGUUAGGUUAGGCUAGGCUUGGGUUGGGGUGAUCUCAAGACAGGAAAGGCAGGGAAAGUGAUAUGUUACCUACUUUAAUUAAUUCGCAAUAUACAUGUUCCCCUAUUAUUAAUCCCAGGUUAGUUUAGGUUAGGUUAGGUUAGGCUAGGCUAGGGUUGGGGUGAUCUCAAGACAGGUGAGGCAGGUAAAGUAAUAUGUUACCUACUUCAAUCAAUUCGCAAUAUACGUGUUUCCCUAUUAUUAAUCCCAGGUUAGUUUAGGUUAGGUUAGGUUAGGCUAGGUUAGGCUAGGCUAGGGAUGGGGUGAUCUCAAGACAGGUAAGGCAGGGAAAGUGAUAUGUUACCUACUCUAAUUAAUUCGCAAUAUACGUGUUCCCCUAUUAUUAAUCCCAGGUUAGUUUAGGUUAGGUUAGGUUAGGCUAGGUUAGGCUAGGCUAGGGAUGGGGUGAUCUCAAGACAGGUAAGGCAGGGAAAGUGAUAUGUUACCUACUUUAAUUAAUUCGCAAUAUACGUGUUUCCCUAUUAUUAAUCCCAGGUUAGUUAAGGUUAGGUUAGGAUAGGAUAGGCUUGGGUUGGGGUGAUCUCAAGACAGGUAAGGCAGGGAAAGUGAUAUGUUACCUACUUUAAUUAAUUCGCAAUAUACGUGUUUCCCUAUUAUUAAUCCCAGGCUAGUUUAGGUUAGGUUAGGAUAGGCUAGGCUUGGAUUGGGGUGAUCUCAAGACAGGUAAGGCAGGGAAAGUGAUAUGUUACCUACUUUAAUUAAUUCGCAAUAUACAUGUUCCCCUAUUAUUAAUCCCAGGCAAGUUUAGGUUAGGUUAGGUUAGGUUAGGUUAGGUUAGGCUAGGCUGGAGUUGGGGUGAUCUCAAGACAGGAAAGGCAGGGAAAGUGAUAUGUUACCUACUUUAAUCAAUUCGCAAUAUACGUGUUUCCCUAUUAUUAAUCUCAGGUUAGUUUAGGUUACGUUAGGAUAGGAUAGGAUAGGAUAGGGUUGGGUUUACAUCAAGACAGGUAAGGCAGGUGAAGUGAUAUGUUACCUACUUUAGCUAAUGCGCUUAUACAUGUUUCCCUGUAAUAAGUCGCAUGCUAGCUUUGGUUAGGUUAGGUUAGGUUAGGUUAGGUUAGGCUAGGGUUGGGGUUUAUAUCAAGACAGGUAAGGCAAGUAGAGUUAUAUGUUAUGCCUACUUUAACUAAUGUGCAAAUACAUGUUUCCCUGUAAUAAGUCGCAUGCUAGCUUUGGUUAGGCUAGGUUAGGUUAGGUUAGGUUAGGCUAGGUUAGGCUAGGGUUUAUAUCAAGACAGGUAAGGCAAGUAGUUAUAUGUUAUGCCUACUUUAACUAAUGUGCAAAUACAUGUUUCCCUGUAAUAAGUCGCAUGCUAGCUUUGGUUAGGCUAGGUUAGGUUAGGUUAGGUUAGGUUAGGCAAGGGUUGGGUUUAUCUCAAGAAAGGUAAGUCAAGUCAAGUAAAGUCAAGUACCUUCUUUAACCAAUGCCUAAUAUACGUUUUUCCCUAUAGUAUAUCCUUGGUUAGGUUAGGUUAGUCUAGGGGUUGGGCUGAUCUCGAGAAAGGAAAGCAAGAUAUAGCACGCUCGUCAAAUUAUUGGAAGAACGUCCUCGACAACACCCUUCAAUAGCCUAACACGCAUUACCACCCGCUCUUCCCUCCUCCAAGAAUAGAUUUUAUUGUGUGGGUGAGCAAGAGAGAGGCUGAGAGGGUGUGAGAGGGGCGUGCAGGACCCUUGGAUAAAUAGGAGAAAGGAGAUGAGCACACUCUCCAAGACGCCCCCCCCAUCUCUCUCUCUCUCUCUCUCUCUCUCUCUCUCUCUGCAUUUCAAUUUCUUUCUCCUCACGGUCAUUAAUUUCUCCUUCCCUCUCCAUCUGUCACCACAUUUUCUUCUUCCACAUUCUCUCUCUCUCUCUCUCUCUCUCUCUCUCUCUCUCUCUCUCUCUCUUUCCCCGCCCCCUCCUGCGGUGUGGAACGAGUCUUCAACACCUGAUCAUCUCCUAAGGAACAAGCGAUUACGGCCAAGACACACGCGAACCCUUACCCUUGCCUCGGACGAUAGGUUAGGUUAGGUUAGGGUUGGGUUAGGUUAGAUAAGGUUAGGUUUGAUAAGGUUAGAUUAGGUUAGGUUAGAUAAGGUUAGAUUAGGUUAGGUUAGAUAAGGUUAGAUUAGAUUAGAUUAGGUUAGGUUAGGUUAGGUUAGGGUUGGGUUAGGUUAGGUUAGGUUAGGUUAGAUAAGGUUAGGUUAGGUUAGGUUAGGUUAGAUUAGAUUAGGUUAGGUUAGAUAAGGUUAGGUUGGAUAAGGUUAGAUUAGGUUAGGUUAGGUUAGAUAAGGUUAGGUUAGAUAAGGUUAGAUAAGGUUAGAUUAGAUUAGGUUAGAUUAGGUUAGGUUAGGUUUGGUUAGGUUACGUUAGGUUAAGUUGGCAUCGUUAGUCGCUUUCGAGUCUCACAUAAACUAUUUCCAAAGGCCAAAAAGGAGAUCAGUCGGGUUCUAAUAAGUAUUUUUUUAGGUUCUUGUUACAGAAGAAGGGUCAUACUACCACCAGGGGAAUAAGAUUAACUCUGGAAAUCCCCAAACCUCCGACGAAAGCCUUAUCAAAUAUGUGCUUGGGCGCCGAAAUGUUUAAGAAUAUGCCUCAUUGGGUCGUAUUUUAAGACAUUUCGUCGCCCAAGAACACCUAUUUGACAAGGCUUUCGUGGGAGUUGUGGGCAUUUCCAGGGGUAGUUUUAUGACCCUGAUGGUAGUUUGACUCUUCCUCUGUACCAUGAACCUGAAGAAACACAUUAGAACACGACCGAGCCCCUCUUUGACCUUUAGAAACAGCUGAUGUGAGAUGAGAAAGUGCCUUAUAAUACCCCUUCUGUAAAUUAACGCGCUGUCUGGUUCAUCGGCUUAUGGUAAAGUUGCCCUGGAA
Eriocheir sinensis (Chinese mitten crab) is the source of this 2995-nucleotide long non-coding RNA. RefSeq lists it as uncharacterized. The transcript has 3 exons. NCBI's taxonomy places the organism in Eukaryota, Metazoa, Arthropoda, Malacostraca, Decapoda, Varunidae. The record is from RefSeq and is a predicted model, not a curated record.